RNAcentral lists this ribosomal RNA (46 nucleotides) under Cordyceps cf. takaomontana BCC28612. RNAcentral's name for it is "partial 28S ribosomal RNA". The record is from RNAcentral. RNAcentral also lists the same sequence under 1 other name. Lineage: Eukaryota; Fungi; Ascomycota; Sordariomycetes; Hypocreales; Cordycipitaceae.
GACCUCGGAUCAGGUAGGACUACCCGCUGAACUUAAGCAUAUCAUA